UUCAACUACAGUCAAGUAUAAUUGAACAGUGCAGUAUCUCAAUGCAUUAUGGUUAUCUUGCACAAUAUCAAAAAAAAUGUUCCACAAUUAAACUUUAGAUGAAAUAUGCACAGUGAAUUGGUUGGAGAUGGAUCAAAAAAUUCACCCCUGAUUCAUAUGGUGGGAUUGUGCUGGCAAGAGCCUGUUGGAUAAAAAGGCCAGACUCAGGCAGUGGUUUGAACUCGGCCUGGAUUCAGCCUGGAAGCAGUCAGUCACGGAUUUGCUGCCCUCGCCGUCAAACGCUCCAUGCCCUACACCCCCUUUCCUCAAUUCCAUACCAAGCCUAGAAUAAAGAAACCUUGAUUUGAUUUUAAACUAUUAAUAAAUAUUUGUGAGAAAACGA
Long non-coding RNA from Eurytemora carolleeae, 382 nucleotides. RefSeq lists it as uncharacterized. The transcript has 2 exons. The record is from RefSeq and is a predicted model, not a curated record. Lineage: Eukaryota; Metazoa; Arthropoda; Copepoda; Calanoida; Temoridae.